Non-coding RNA from Drosophila melanogaster (fruit fly), 864 nucleotides. The record is from Ensembl. NCBI's taxonomy places the organism in Eukaryota, Metazoa, Arthropoda, Insecta, Diptera, Drosophilidae.
AUUCGGUGCGAAUCGUGGCGACCCUUUCGCAUCGAUCCGUCCAGGGCGCGUUUAGCUUUCUCGGCAUUGGGAUGAUAGUCGACCUUUAGGAAUUUAAAGUUCUUAUCCAGGUUCGAGAAGAUCUCGCUAAUCGUAUGGCUCGUAUGGCUUGAACGUCUCGCGUAGCUCAGCGUCGGUGAUGUCAUUGGUCAGGUUGCCCACAUAGAGACGAUUUCGAUGGGAGAACUUCGUCUCCGUGGGCACUUCCACUGUUUCCAGUUCAAAGCCGCGCGGACCACCAUCUCCAUCGCUACCACCACCCAUAUUGGUGCUGUUCAUCGUGCCACCUGCACCUCCGCCAGGGCGUGGACCACGCUACUACCGACUACGGUUUCGGUUGUCUGCUGGUUCUGCGGGCUUCCGGAGAAACCGCCACCUUGAUUGUUACCAGCAUUGCGACCUCUGAAUCCUUGACCACUUCCCUGAAUUCCGGCUCCUCCUUGAUUUCCUUGGCCUCCUUUAUUGCCUGCUCCUCCUUGAUUUCCUAAUCCUCCUUGAUUUCCUUGACCAUGGACUUGAUUUUGAUUUUGGUUUUGUCCUUGCCGUUGAUUUGGGCCCUUGUUGGCGUUCUGAUUCGCUUGAUUUUGGCCAGCAGCUGCAGUGGCCGGUUCAUUGUUCUUAGCAAGUGCAUUGGACCCGUCCGCCUUUGAUGUUUCGUUAUGGCGCUUUUGCUAUAUUUGUGUUAUACAUUUAAAUAAAUACAAUAUGCAAUUGAUAUGUGAGCCACAUCUGCAGUGCCGUCAUUUCAAUCCAGUUACACCAUUUUAAUACAAACUGAACUGAUAUAACAUCGAUUGAAUCGGCUCUGCAGGCGUGCCCCCCUAU